CGCGGCUAUUGCCUGUCGUACGUCCGAACUCCGGGACCCUUUCGCACUUAGGCACUCCGACUUCUGUGAAUGGCUUAUUAAAUCAAUUAUAGUUCGUUUGAUGGUAUCUACUACUCGGAUAACCGUAGUAAUCCAAGAGCUAAUACGUGCAACAAACCCCGACUUCUGGAAGGGAUGCAUUUAACAGAUAAAAGGUCGAUGUGGGCUCUGCCCAUUGCUGUGAUGAUUCAUGAUAACUCGAUAGAUCACACGACCAUUGUGCCGGCGACGCAUCAUUCAAAUUUCUAUCCUAUCAAGUUUCGAUGGUAGGAUAAUGGCCUACCAUGGUGGUGAUGGGUGACGAAGAAUUAGGGUUUGAUUUUGGAGACGGAGCCUGAGAAACGGCUACCACAUCCAAGGAAGGCAGCAGGCGCGCAAAUUACCCAAUCCUGACACAAGGAGGUAGUGACAAUAAAUAACAAUACUGGGCUCAAUGAGUCUAGUAUUUAGAAUGAGUACAAUCUAAAUUCCUUAAUGAGGAUCCAUUAGAGGGAGAGUUUUAUGCCAGCAGUCGCGGUAGUUCAGCACUAAUAACGUAUAUUUAAGUUGUUGUACUUAAGAAUAUCAAAGUUAGACUUUGGGAUUGGCCAGCCAGUUUGCCUAUGGUGUGCAUUGGUUGUCUCGUCCCUUCUGUCGGCAAUGCGCUCCUGGACUUAACUGGCUGGGUCGUGCCUCCGGCACUGUUACUUUGAAGAAAUUAGAGUUCUUAAAGCAAGACUACGCUCUGUAUACAUUAGCAUGGGAUAACAUUAUAGGAUUUUGGUCCUAUUACAUUGGCCUUUGGGAUCGGAGUAAUGAUUAAUAGAGACAGUCGGGAGCAUUCGUAUUUCAUAGUCAGAGGUGAAAUUAUUGGAUUUAUGAAAUACGAACAACUGUGAAAGCAUUUUCCAAGGAUGUUUUCAUUAAUCAAGAUCGAAAGUUGGUGGCUCGAAGGCAGUCAAAUAUCAUCUUAGUCUUAACCAUAAACGAUGCCGACUAGGAAUCGGCGGAUGUUGGUUUUAGGACUCCGCCGACACCUUAUGAGAAAUCAAAGUUUUUGGGUUCCAGGGGGAGUAUGGUCGCAAGGCUAAAACUUUAAGGAAUUGAUGGAAGGGCACCACCAGGAGUGGAGCGUGCGGCUUAAUUUGACUCAACACGGGGAAACUUACCAGGUCUAGAUGUUCUGGACUGCACGCGCGCUACACUGAUGUAUUCAAUGAGUUUAUAGCCUUGGCCAACAGGCUUGGGUAAUAUUUGAAAUUUCAUCAUGAUGGGGAUAGAUAAUUGCAAUUGUUGGUCUUCAACAAGGAAUUCCUAGUAAGCACGAGUCAUCAGCUCGCGUUGACUACGUCCCUUCCCCUUGUACAUACCGCCUGUCGCUCCUACCGAUUGAAUGAUACGGUGAAAUAUUCAGAUGGCGGCGAUGUGGGUGGUUCACUGCCUGCGACGUCGUGAGAAGUCCAUUGAACCUUAUCAUUUAGAGGAAGGAGAAUUCGUAACAAGGUUUUCAUAGGUGAACCUGCAAAAG
RNAcentral lists this ribosomal RNA (1546 nucleotides) under Capsicum chinense (habanero). Its description in RNAcentral is "bacterial SSU rRNA". It matches the Rfam family "Eukaryotic small subunit ribosomal RNA". The record is from RNAcentral. Lineage: Eukaryota; Viridiplantae; Streptophyta; Magnoliopsida; Solanales; Solanaceae.